CUCAAAUGUUAAAGGGUUACUACUAACCUUUUGAGGGGGGCGCGACGACUUUUUUUGGUGUAAAAUGCCCUAUUAGGCACUUUGAAGAAGGUCCACCCUUCGACUUACAGUAUGACCUGCCAAAAGAAAAGGCAAGAGAGCAUUGGUUACCCUGAAUCCAUCGCCAGGCGAAGAUUCCAGGCCCCUUGGCUUUGUGUGGUCCAAUCACAGGCUUGUCAUACAGAUGCUUGUGAUUGGACUGUUUCAUCGGCUCAGAGCGCAUGCGAGCGAAGGGAUGGGUUUUUAAAUAUAAAUAACUCUGUGUAAUGGAAGGAGGUGGAAGGGAGGAAGAAGCAAUCAUUCCU
Molecule: non-coding RNA, 344 nt
Organism: Pelobates cultripes (western spadefoot toad)
Lineage: Eukaryota; Metazoa; Chordata; Amphibia; Anura; Pelobatidae
Source: the annotation of a GenBank genome assembly